GAUGAAGAACGUAGCGAAAUGCGAUAAGUAAUGCGAAUUGCAGAAUUUCCGUGAGUCAUCGAAUCUUUGAACGCACAUUGCGCCCACUGGUAUUCCGGUGGGCAUGCCUGUUCGAGCGUCAUUAUCCUCCCUCAAACCUCGGGUUUGGUGUUGGACCCAAGUUGUGUGAACAACUGGUCUUAAAGACAAUGACGGCGUCCGUGGGACCCUCGGUGCAACGAGCUUUUAGGAGCACGCGUCGAGUUCCAAGGACCUUCCGGGCCGGUCUCCUUUACCAUUUUACAAGGUUGACCUCGGAUCAGGUAGGAAUACCCGCUGAACUUAAGCAUAUCAAUAAGCGGAGGA
RNAcentral lists this unclassified non-coding RNA (345 nucleotides) under soil metagenome. Its description in RNAcentral is "partial contains 5.8S ribosomal RNA, internal transcribed spacer 2, and large subunit ribosomal RNA". The stretch from base 1 to 121 matches the Rfam family "5.8S ribosomal RNA", at positions 35 to 154 of the family's 154-position model. The record is from RNAcentral.